This 293-nucleotide ribosomal RNA is filed under the name uncultured bacterium. Its description in RNAcentral is "partial 16S ribosomal RNA". It matches the Rfam family "Bacterial small subunit ribosomal RNA", at positions 335 to 643 of the family's 1533-position model. The record is from RNAcentral.
GUCCUACGGGAGGCAGCAGUGGGGAAUAUUGGACAAUGGGGGGAACCCUGAUCCAGCGACGCCGCGUGAGUGAAGAAGUAUUUCGGUAUGUAAAGCUCUAUCAGCAGGGAAGAAAGAAAUGACGGUACCUGACUAAGAAGCCCCGGCUAACUACGGGCCAGCAGCCGCGGUAAUACGUAGGGGGCAAGCGUUAUCCGGAUUUACUGGGUGUAAAGGGGGCGUAGACGGCGAGGCAAGUCUGAAGUGAAAGGGGGGGGCCCAACCCCUGGCCUGCUUUGGCAACUGAAUGGCUG